AUUGAACGCUGGCGGCAUGCCUUACACAUGCAAGUCGAACGGCAGCACGGGAGCAAUCCUGGUGGCGAGUGGCGAACGGGUGAGUAAUAUAUCGGAACGCGCCCAGUCGUGGGGGAUAACGCAGCGAAAGCUGUGCUAACACCGCAUACGAUCUACGGAUGAAAGCGGGGGAUCGCAAGACCUCGCGCGAUUGGAGCGGCCGAUAUCAGAUUAGCUAGUUGGUGAGGUAAAGGCUCACCAAGGCGACGAUCUGUAGCUGGUCUGAGAGGACGACCAGCCACACUGGAACUGAGACACGGUCCAGACUCCUACGGGAGGCAGCAGUGGGGAAUUUUGGACAAUGGGCGCAAGCCUGAUCCAGCAAUGCCGCGUGCAGGAUGAAGGCCUUCGGGUUGUAAACUGCUUUUGUACGGAGCGAAAAGGCUCCCUCUAAUACAGGGGGCUCAUGACGGUACCGUAAGAAUAAGCACCGGCUAACUACGUGCCAGCCGCCGCGGUAA
RNAcentral lists this ribosomal RNA (500 nucleotides) under uncultured bacterium. RNAcentral's name for it is "partial 16S ribosomal RNA". It matches the Rfam family "Bacterial small subunit ribosomal RNA", at positions 30 to 523 of the family's 1533-position model. The record is from RNAcentral.